This 23-nucleotide non-coding RNA is filed under the name Arabidopsis thaliana (thale cress). The record is from RNAcentral. Lineage: Eukaryota; Viridiplantae; Streptophyta; Magnoliopsida; Brassicales; Brassicaceae.
CCUCUGGUCGAUGGAACAAUGUA